GCAAGUCGAGGGGCAGCAUGGUCUUCGGACCGAUGGCGACCGGCGCACGGGUGCGUAACGCGUAUGCAACCUACCCACUACAGGGGAAUAGCUUCCGGAAACGGAAAUUAAUACCCCAUAACACAUAAGUAUCGCAUGGUACUAAUGUUAAAGAUUUAUCGGUAGUGGAUGGGCAUGCGUAAGAUUAGAUUGUUGGUGAGGUAACGGCUCACCAAGUCUACGAUCUUUAGGGGUUUUGAGAGGAUGAUC
RNAcentral lists this ribosomal RNA (249 nucleotides) under uncultured bacterium. RNAcentral describes it as "partial 16S ribosomal RNA". It matches the Rfam family "Bacterial small subunit ribosomal RNA", at positions 57 to 305 of the family's 1533-position model. The record is from RNAcentral.